AGAGUUUGAUCCUGGCUCAGGACGAACGCUGGCGGCGCGCCUCAUACAUGCAAGUCGAGCGAGAACCGGGCUUCGGCCCGGGGAGAGCGGCGAACGGGUGCGUAUCACGUGAGCAACCUGCCUCAGAGACCGGGAUAACUCGAGGAAACUCGGGCUAAUACCGGAUGCCCUCGGUGGAUCGCAUGGUCCGGCGAGGAAAUGGAUUCCGCUCUGAGAUGGGCUCGCGGCCUAUCAGCUUGUUGGUGGGGUAACGGCCUACCAAGGCGACGACGGGUAGCUGGUCUGAGAGGACGAUCAGCCACACUGGGACUGAGACACGGCCCAGACUCCUACGGGAGGCAGCAGUAGGGAAUCUUGCGCAAUGGGCGAAAGCCUGACGCAGCGACGCCGCGUGCGGGAUGAAGGCCUUCGGGUCGUAAACCGCUUUCAGCAGGGACGAAAUA
Molecule: ribosomal RNA, 443 nt
Filed under: uncultured soil bacterium
Lineage: Bacteria
Description: bacterial SSU rRNA
Rfam family: Bacterial small subunit ribosomal RNA
Source: RNAcentral